Pan troglodytes (chimpanzee) is the source of this 117-nucleotide non-coding RNA. It matches the Rfam family "Metazoan signal recognition particle RNA". Rfam says of the family: The signal recognition particle (SRP) is a universally conserved ribonucleoprotein. It is involved in the co-translational targeting of proteins to membranes. The eukaryotic SRP consists of a 300-nucleotide 7S RNA and six proteins: SRPs 72, 68, 54, 19, 14, and 9. The record is from Rfam. Lineage: Eukaryota; Metazoa; Chordata; Mammalia; Primates; Hominidae.
GCUGGGUGUGGUGGUUCACACCUGUAAUCCCAGCACUUUGGGAGGCUGAGGCAGGAGAAUCACUUGAGGCCAGGAGUUCAAGACCUGCCUGGGCAACAUAGUGAGACCCUGGCUCUA